RNA transcript from Dreissena polymorpha, 10709 nucleotides. It is a transcript of the gene named piezo-type mechanosensitive ion channel component 1-like, with no coding region annotated. The record is from RefSeq and is a predicted model, not a curated record. NCBI's taxonomy places the organism in Eukaryota, Metazoa, Mollusca, Bivalvia, Myida, Dreissenidae. The transcript is spliced from 54 exons.
CCCAUUGUUGAAGAGGCUGAUAAUUGUAAAGCCACUAAGUUACUGACUAAGUGACAAUUAACCAAGGAAAGCAUGUGAUAUGCAUAAUAAACGUUAAACACAUUUUCACAAUUUGCAGACGAACUUUUGUGUGCACGCAUACAUGCUAGAAAGCAGUCAAUUACUAUGGCAACCACAGGGGCAUCAAGAGUUGCACAACUGGUGUGUUAUCUCCUCUUCCGACUGCUUUUACCAUGCGUUCUCUUAGUCGGUGCUGUGGUGAGAUACAAUGCUGUGUCGUUUUUGUACACGGUGUUCUUGUUGCUGUGUCCACUCAUGCCAGCCCCAACAUCAGUAACAAUCAGAGGUUGCACAGGCUUGUACCUGCGGUUUGUGUUUGGGCUGGGACUGCUUGCAAGUCUUGCCCACGGAGUUUUCCAUAUCACACUCAAGGCUAUGGCUACUGAUAGCAAGCCAUAUGGGUCCAUGUUUACAAACUGUUCUACAUAUGAACAGUUGGUCAGACAGAUUGGCCUGGAAAGGUUGGACACUGCUCCAACUGUUGACAUCUUCCGACUUGUCAUACCGGACGUGGCAGUGUUUGUGACAGCGCUGAUUGUCUACAUCGUCUGCUGGAAGCUGCUCCCGGUAGAAGCGGGGCAGUGCCAGUCUGAACUACCCACGGUCGUGAGGUCUCAGCUGAAGCGAAAGGUCAUCAGCGUCGUGGAGUUCAUUGGCGAGGCCAUGUUGGUGUUACUGCUGGCAGCUAGUGGAAUCAUUGCCCCGAGUGUCUUGUCUUCAGUGUACUUUUUGUCUUUCCUGUUUUUAGCGACUUUAUGGUCGAUGUAUGGCAACCUUGGUCGGAAGUUUGCUGUGUUCCGUGUUUUUUUACUGGUGUUCAACACGUGCCAUAUACUAGUCCUGCACCUCUACCAAUUUCAGUUCUUUCAGCAGGUUAUCUCACCAACAGACUUCAUAGCAAGGUUGCUAGGACUGAUCGCUGUGGUGAAGACUGACUGCAGCAGCCCAUACCAGAUCUUCUUCUACGACACUUCAAAAUGGCAGAACUUUAUCAAUCCAGGCAUUCUGCUGAUACUGUUCUAUACCUUGGCAGUCGAAAUACGACACCAUUGCGAGGACAAGACACUGGUCUUGUCCCACCAACCUGACGCAGCCAGGACACAAAAAACUAGGAGGCAUCGUCAGCGGAAACGAGGUUCUGAGCGUGAGGUACCAAGGACACUGGAUGAGAGCCAGAAAGAGCACUUGGUGGGAGCGGAGAUACGGGACUACAGCAGCCUGGAGCCGAUUAACGACACCAUGGACCGGGAAGGUUCCCCAACCAUGCUCGGUGAGGAGGCAGGAACCAAAAACUCGGAAGGGAACCAAGAACAGGAUGAGGGGCCAAAGCGGUCUGCCUGGGUGACGUUUUUCGUUUACGUCAUGCGACAAAGCUACGUGCUGUCUCUGAUAGCUAUGAUGGUGUGGAGUAUCCUGUUCCACAGCUGGCUCACGUUUGUACUGCUGUUGUCCGCCUGCAUCAUCUGGAUGUUCUCCAAUUCCCGGCGCAUCUGCUACGUCCUCUCGCCCUUCAUACUCUUCUAUGGGAUCGGGUUGCUGUGCAUCCAGUUUGUGUUCGGUAUGGACCUCCAGAAGGAGUUACCCAUUGAGAGCUAUGGCAUACAGCUAGGGGACAUCGGUCUCAGGAAGUACCCACACCCUUGUAAAGAGCUCGCAAUUCAGGUGGCAUUUACUCUAUGUUUUUGGCUCACCCUACGCCAGUAUGUCCGCGAGAAACGGGACUCUGUUCUGGCAGAUGGAGAGAAAUACCCGCUAGAAACCGUGGGGGGAACAGCACCCACGACUCCUAACUCACGCAAAUCCUUUACAGAGAUGAUACAAUCAAGGCCGGUGGGUAUGGAUUCAAUGGAGGGGUCCGACAGUAGCACAAUGGUUUGGAUAGGCCUGUAUGUGUGGACCCUGCUGUGCAAGUACUGGAUCCUGGUCUGUGCCAGUAUGCUGCUGGUGAUCUCUCUACAGGAGGUGGUCGUCUACAGGAUCAUCUACAUGAUCCUCUUCCUGCUCUUUGUUCUCACCUUCCAGUUUGCGUUCACUUUCUGGCGUGUGACGAUGCGCCUGUUCUGGUGGCUUGUGAUCCUGUACUCAAUGCUGGUACUGAUCAUCCUCUACACAUAUCAGUUUGACAAUGUGGCCGAGGCUUGGCGAAACACAACGAAACUCAGCGAUGACACGUUGGCAGACAUUGGUCUGGAGCACUUCGACACGACAGGCUUGUUUAUCCGUCUACUUACGCCAACGUGUUUCUUGAUUCUCGUGAUACUGCAGGUGCACUAUUUCCAUCAGCCGUUCAUGCACCUAAGUGACAUCAACAGAUACAAGAAAGCUGAGAUGGAGGGACCCACCACACCUGUCUUACCUGUCUCACCUGGCUCGCACACCACCGUCACAGAGGGAUCAAUGGAUGCCAACAAAAAAAAGACUGUGGGUAAAAGGUUUAAAGCCUGUGUAAAAAGAACCUGGAUCAAGGCUGGUGAGAUCUGGGAUUUGAUCACCUGGUUUCUAUGGCGACUGGCAGAAAUACACAUCUUCAAGGUUGUUGCGUUCAUCAUCAUCAUGACUUGCGUUUAUGAGGUGUCUGCAGUGAGUGCGGUGUACGUGAUUCUGCUGGCUGUGUUCCUGCCCAUGACGGGGCUCUGGUUCGUGCUCUCCCACCUGGCGCUGCUCUGGACAGCCCUGGUCAUCCUCUCCAAGAUGAUCUAUCAACUGGAUCUGGUCGACAACAAGCCCUGGCUCACUAACUGUACGGGCAACAUAUCCCAAAACUGGCCAUUCAACGAGACCAUCAACAAUGCCAAGUGGGUGGGGAUGGACAGAUCAGAACACCUUGGAUAUUACUUGAGGAAUUACAUUGGCAUACUGCUGCUCAUUGUCCUGGAGCGUAUUGUGGUGUACCGUCAGACCCAGUACUACAACACGCCCGGGGUUGUCAAGCCCAAAACCGGCAUCAUUUUCAGUGACAUCCAACGCAAACAGGCUGAUGAGGGCCUCAUUGAAUGCGGAAAGUUCUUCUUGAACUAUUUCUUCUACAAGUUCGGACUAGAGCUGUGCUUCAUAAUGACAGCCAUCACCAUCUGCGUGCGUGUGGACGCCUACUCGAUGCUAUACGCGGUACUGCUGGGUAUUCAGCUGCUCCUGAGUAGGCGGUGCUGCGCCCGGGUUUGGCCGGUCUACACCAUCAUACUGGUCAUACUGCUGCCUCUCCAGUACCUGCUGGCACUGGGUCUGCCAGUCGGCUUCUGCUAUCAGUACCUGUGGGAUGCCACAGUGUGGAUCUUGAAGGAGGACGAGACAAUGGAGCUGGAACAAUGGUUCUACCUCCCGGACUACUUAAGCCCCCCAAACUCCAUCAAACUGGUCGCGGACUUCUUUCAACUGCUAUUUGUGUGCCUUCAGUGGAGGGUGUUUAGGAAGGAAAUGAGAUUCAAGGGGGUGGAGCUUGACGGAGGGACCAACGAGGACAUUUUGCCUGAAGUAGAGGCCAAGCAGCCAAUACCGGUGUCUGACUUCACCACCAAGAUAACAAAGUACAGGAAAGUAUCAUACAGCUCCUACCUAGACGUUGUGAAGAACUUCGUGUUCGUGUACAUGUUCUGGGUGACACUGGCGAUAGUGUUCAUUGCGGGAACGUCGCGUAUCAACCUGUUCAGCAUGGGGUACGUGAUGGCUGUGUUCUACUUCAUGUGGUUUGAGCGGGAGUUCCUGAUUAAGCCUCUGAGAAGACUCUUGAGAGCGUGGAAUGGACUACUUGGACUCUGCUACUUCAUCAUGCUGCUGAAAGCUGCACUCCAGUUGCCCAGCUGUGUGUACAUUGACUUGAUCAGCUCCAAGGCUUGCUGGGUGGUGCAACUUUUGGGGAUGACCUGCUUGCGCCCUGGAUAUGUACCAAAAAAAGCUGACACAGACUGCGUGGUGGCUGAUGACAACACAGGCCUGUCCUUGGACGUGGUCUGCUUUGUCUUCCUGCUGUUGCAGCGCAAGAUCUACACGAGCCACUACUUCAGACACGUUGUGGCGGACUUUGAGGCACAGAACAGGCUGGCUUCCAGAGGGUGUCAGCUGAUCAACCGCAUCCUGAUGCAGCAGGUCGACAAACAGAAGAAAGAAGAGAAGCAGAUCAUCUACGCAAUCAAGAAGAAGAUGAGAUCACUCAAGGAGAAGCAGAAGAACAUCAAGAAGAAGUUUGUGGAACCAGAAGAGCACUUUCAAGCUAUUCGUUCUGGAGACUACUACCUGUUUGACGAAUCUGAAGAUGAGACAGAGGUGGAUGAUGAGAUCAAUACUAUCACAUUUGGUCAGGAUCCUGUUGGGGAGGAGGAUAAGGCUCUCAGUCCUAUUAAGCUGAUGACAACUGCAAUGACAUCUGGUGUGAAUGAAGCGGUGAAACAAUCUGAGCAAGACGAAAAGGACCUUGAUAGGGGACGCAGUCCAAGGCCCACCAGUCCGUCAGCAACAACUGAUACGCCUGAUGCUGCUGCGGAGCCUGACAAUCAGAAAAUUGUUGCUACGGUGACUGAAGAGAAAAAAGAAGGGGAGAAGGGAACAGAAGAAGAACAGAAGGGUGAAGGCAUUGACAAAGUGAAGACCAUAUUCAGUUUCAUUGUUGCUCUGUUGGUGAGCUGUGCCGACUGGAUGACGGCACUUUUCAAUCGUAUUUCCCGUAACUACAGACUGGUGGCAGCCAAAAUGAAGGACGAUCACAUCCGCGUCAAGUUGCAAAUUCAGUCAGAGACAGGACACAUCACUGCGACAAACAUUGAGAUGAGGGAACCAGAUGGUGAACAAAAAGGAGCCACAGGAGCUAGUGAUGACCUCAUGGAGGUUUCUGUUCAGCCUGUGAAGACGGUUGAUACACCUAUGGUACCUGUCAGUAGCAAACUCAGUCUGUCAGGGAUCGACCUGGACAGGUUUGAGGAGGAGGAGGAGGCCUUUGAGAAGAAGCAGUCCUGCAUCUAUAGGCUGCUGGUUGCCACCUACUUUGCCAUUGUUGCACGGACAGAGAUGCUGUGCUACUUCCUGAUGGUGCUGAACCACAUCCUGUCAGCCAGCCUGCUUUCCCUGCCCCUGCCCAUGUUUGCCUUCCUGUGGGGCAUGCUGUCCGUGCCUCGCCCCACCAAGACAUUCUGGAUCACCGUCAUCACAUACACAGAGGCGGUUGUCGUUGUGAAGUACCUGUUCCAAUUCGGCUUCUUUCCCUGGAACAACACGAUUUAUGAUGAGCCAUUCUUCCCGCCGAGAAUCAUCGGUAUAGAGCAGAAGGACAACUUCUGGGUGAUGGAUCUCAUUCUGCUCAUUGCUCUAUUCCUCCACAGGACCAUACUCAAGCGAUACGGGCUAUGGAAAGACGAAGAGAAGAUCAUCAUAGAUGACAGCAAGAUGUCCUCACCCCCUAUGUCUAACAUUGAGGCAACCCAGGAGGAGAUAGAGGAGAUGGAGGCCCUACGAAGGGUAAGUCGGUCCUCCAGUAUGCAAGCUGAGCCCUCCAUGAUGAAAUCCCCAUCGUGGACCUCCAGCCUAGCGAAGAGCCAGAGGCCUGAAGAUGACUGUGACAGCCGGGAUGGAAAGGAGGGGAAGAGCUUCGGUGUCAAAGCCCUCUUUAAGCCUUUCAUCAACUUCUACAAGCAGCUGACCUGUCCUGAUUACAACGCCACCACAGAUGUUUAUGCGGCCAUGUUUGUCUGCGAUUUCAUCAAUUUCCUGAUCAUCGUCUUUGGUUAUCAGGGUUUUGGACCAUCUCAAUCAGCGUCGGGUGAUGUGGCCUCAUACAUCUCAGAAAACAGGAUUCCCAUCCCAUUUCUGAUCAUGCUUCUGGCCCAGUUCAUCCUGAUUAUCGUGGAUCGGGCGCUUUAUCUCCGCAAGAACAUCCUCGGCAAGUUCAUCUUCCAGAUCCUUCUGGUGAUUCUCAUACACGUCUGGAUGUUCUUCAUCAUUCCCUAUUGGACUGGAAAAUCCUUCACCAACAACAAGCCAGCAGCCCUCUGGUAUUUCCUAAAGUGCGUCUACUUCUACCUGUCAGCCUACCAGAUCAAGUGCUCCUACCCUACACGCAUUUUAGGGAACUUCCUCACCAAGAAGUACAACUACUUGAACCUCUUCCUCUUUAAAGGUUUUCUGGCUAUACCAUUCCUGCUUGAGUUACGCACCCUUAUGGACUGGAUCUGGACUAACACGACAAUGGCCAUUGGAAGCUGGCUGCAGAUGGAGGAUAUCUAUGCCAACAUUUACAUACUCAAGUGUUAUCGGGUCAUUGAGAAGGAGUACCCAACGCCAAGAGCUACACCAAAGAGUGCUCUUAUCAAGUAUGGUGUUGGCGGACUGUUGUUAUUCGUAGUAAUAUUCAUCAUCUGGUUUCCCCUGGUGCUAUUUUCAUUUGCAAACACCGUGUAUCAGCCAAACCCACCGAUUGAGUGCAGAGUGUCAGUUGCAUUGGCUGGAUAUCAGCCCCUGUUUGAAAUAAUCGGUCAGCAGCAGAACAUUUUGCAGUUCAGCGAUUCUGAGUUCAGUGCCAUGAAAAAGGGAGUUGACAGAAACAAGGCUGCCACCUCCUUCUUAAAUAACUACAAGACAGAGGAUGUGACCAAGAUUUUGCUGAAUGGAAACACCACAUCAGUAUGGACUAUAAGUCCGCCCAGCCGUAAACAGCUGGUUGAGGACCUGCUGAACCCUAAAGUAACCAUGAACUUGGACUUCUACGUGACCUUUGGCAGAGCACCUCAUGAUCAGACUGGGGAAAGUAUCAGUCAGCAGUUCCGUAAAGAGCUCACCGUAGAAAACAGGAACGAGACAGCCGAACUUCUGAGAGGGAAAAUCACCAAACCAGUACAAAUAAGCAAUGUGUUUCCGCUGUACAUUCGACUGGCAAAGAAUUCAGCAUCUCCGGUGACAGCACUUCUUGGGCUUGGCACUGGGAACUAUACUGCCAUAGAAAUUUCGCUGCAAAGUGAUAAUAGCACAGACCAAACAUUAUUUUGGUGGCAAAUAAAUGUCCCAGAAAAUCACCCGGACAAUUUCAUCAAAAUACUGACGUUCAACGACCGUGUGGCGCCUGCUGGAUUUGCUCUCAUUACUGGAUACGGAAUCAUAGGCUUGUAUGUGUCGUUAGUACUCGUGAUAGGCCGCUUUGUGCGCGUCUUCUUCAGUGACAUGUCGAAAACAAUCAUGUUUGACGAGCUACCCAAUGUUGACGGCAUUCUCAGCCUUUGCUUGAACCUCUACUUGGCGCGAGAAUGUGGAGAAUAUCGACUCGAAGAACAGCUGUUUUCAAAACUGCUUUUUGUUUAUAGGUCUCCAGAAGUUAUGAUCAGGUUUACAAAGCCUAAGACUGAGUAGGUUAUGUUCAUAAAGCCUAAGACUGAGUAGGUUAUGUUCAUAAAGCCUUAGACUGAGUAGGUUAUGUUCAUAAAGCCUAAGACUGAGUAGAAUUUGUUCAUAAAGCCUUAGACUGAGUAGGUUAUGUUCAUAAAGCCUUAGACUGAGUAGGUUAUGUUCAUAAAGCCUUAGACUGAGUAGGUUAUGUUCAUAAAGCCUAAGACUGAGUAGAAUUUGUUCAUAAAGCCUUAGACUGAGUAGGUUAUGUUCAUAAAGCCUUAGACUGAGUAGGUUAUGUUCAUAAAGCCUAAGACUGAGUAGAAUUUGUUCAUAAAGCCUUAGACUGAGUAGGUUAUGUUCAUAAAGCCUAAGACUGAGUAGGUUAUGUUCAUAAAGCCUAAGACUGAGAAGUAUAUGUUCAAUUGUUCAUGUGUUAAGAAGGAUUAACACAGCCGAAGACUGAGCAUUAUAUGUGCAUGUGAAAAGAAAACAGCAGGUUCUAAAUGAUGGUAGUAUUUGCAUGUUGUUUUUAUUAAGAAUUUGUAUUUUACAGUAAAUGAUGAUGAAAUCAUCUUGUUUCAAUGAAGAACAUUUUCUUACUUGUAGAUAUAGAGGAAAGUAAUCCUGAAUUACAAACUAUCAAAAAAUAGUUAAAACAACUAUGUAAUUAGGAAGUUAGUUAGUUAUUAUGUUAAUCUAAAUAUGUUUUGGCAAGGGUCAUUGCUGUCAACACAAUCCUUUGCCUGUGAUUCUAUUAAUCUAUUACCGCAGACACAAACUUAUCACAUACCAUGUUAUCAGACUUUUUAAAACUCAUUUUCGAGUGACACACUUGGAAAAUGUUAAAGGGAUCUGUUCAUGUUUUGGUAAAUUGACCAAAUUGAAAAAAAAUGUUUCAGAUUUGCAAAUUGUCUUUGUAAUUAUGUUAUUUGCGAGUAAAAAAAUUACUGAUCAUUUUCCAUGCUCAAAAAUAUUCAUUAUAUGAAUCUUUUGACGAUUUAAAAACCUGAAAGUUAUAGAGCGUUACAAACACAGAACAAUUGAAUAAAAUGGGGAGUUCUGUUGUUAUUCUUUUAUUUUGUUACACUACCUGGAAUACAUGUAAAAAGUAUAACAUGCACCAUUAACUUUAAAAGCACGGAUGAAAGAGUGCUUUAAGAGCCUGGCCUUAAAUCAAAGGGUCUGUGGUUCGAGCCCAGUUUGGGAUAUUUCUUUUUUUAAUUGUAUUCUUGUUUUUACACUGAUGCUUUUUAGUUCUGAUGUUGACAUUUAUAAAUUUAAACCAUUUUAAUGAUAAAUUUUACACAAAUCUGAAAAAGUCUCUGAAAAAUGUUAUAUGAUUUUCUAGUCAGUGUGUUUUCUGACUGAUGUUUUUGUCUAUAGACCAUACUUUCUUAUAUGUCUAAUGUAUUUGUGUGUUGUUUAAACACCAUUAUAUAGCAGAUGCUUUUUUUGAUUGAUUUAAAACUGAUUAAAAUGCAGCUAUAAAUUAUUUUCAGGUGCAAGGCACUAUUAACUGUUUUGUAACUUCACUAUCAAAUCCUACACAAUCAAUUCCAGAAUGUUUUUUUAAUUGCUUUGAGAUUUUUUAUUUUUUUUUUCACUCAUUUGGAAAUGGGACCUGUAGUAUAUAAAAAAUAACAUUCUUGAAAGUGAGAAAAUAUAAAUAUGAAUAAUGAGUAUCUUAAACUACUUUUAUGACAGUUUCAAGGUUUACGACUGAGAUUUGCAUUUUUCAUUUUUAGGGAGAUUUUCUGUCGUUAGAUUUUCUUAAGUCCAGCUUGUAUGACUACCAUGGCAGGAGGAAUGUGCCCUUCAAAAAACUUUUACAUUUGGAAAAAAACCUUAAUUUCAUAAUUAAUUUGUCUUUUGAGGGACUUCAGUACACUUAAGGUUCGGUCCUCUUACGGAUAUUGAAUUUGUUAUGAAAAAGAAACACAUGGAUACUAAAAAUUGCCACAUUAUAAAGGAUGUAAAGUCUCAGAGCAUUUUUGAUCAGUUACACUCACUAAAAAAUUUAGUUCUUUUAUGUUUGUUUUGUAAAAUCAACAAAUUAAAUAAUGACAUCAUUUGUUUUUUGCAUUUUUUUGCCAACCUUGCCAUGUUGUUAAAAUGAAUCUAUAUUGGCUAUGCUUUGCAGCGUUUCAUGAUUCUUACAGUCUGGGUCAAAAUAUCACAAUUUUAAAUUUGACUGUAACGAUUUUGUCUGUUAAUUAAUUUACUUUGAUUGUUUUAUACAUUUAAGAUUCUGUGAACACAUUUGGUGAUAACUUAUCGGGCAUUUAUGAGAAGAUUUGACAGCUUUGUUCUGAUUUGUCAUAUAAUUGUGUAAAUACUUUAUAAAAUUACCAGGAGAGUUGUACAUUACCUCAUUUACAUAAAUUUGAAUUGGGAAGUUAUGUUUGCCUAUAUAUUGUGCUCAUAAUUUAAUACUCAUAAUCUUGCCAUAGUUUCAUAAUUUAUAUACAAGGAAGGAAAACAAUAUGUGUUGCAGCCAUUAGACUUUUUAUUAUCCUUAUCUUAAUUGUUAAUUAUCAUGAAAUUUAAAUCUAUUAUAUGUGUAGCUUCAUUUUUUUUAAAGUUAUAUGUAAAAUCAUAUUUUUUGUUAUUAAAUUUAUACAUUGAUACCUUAUAACCAGUCCUCACUAGCUCAUUAUAUUUUCAAUUAUUGAACACAACCAGGAAUUAUUUUGUUUGAAGCCAUGACUUUGACCUCGCCCAUCCAAUAUAAAAUCCCAAGCAAGGUCUUGAUAUAAGAUGCAUUUUAAAAUUCCCAUAUGCUAUUGUACAAUUGAGCUGAAUUGUUUUGUGUGUACCUACAUUAAUAUUGACAAGCUGACAGCUCCCACUCAAUAUCUAAUCCCUAGCAAGCUUUACCUUGACCUUAGCCAUCGCCUGCAAUCAUAAAUGAAGUAUUUAUACAAGGUACAUUGUAUCUUUGAAUGCAGUCUAAUUUUAUUGAAAACAUAAAGAACUUUUUCAGUUUUUGGGGCAUUGUCAUAUUUCUUGUUGUAACCUAGUUUCUAUUUAAUGGCUUGAGUUAUAUAAAAACAAUUUCAAACGAGCAAAAUAGUAUCUUGAUGACAAAACGGUUGUUAUUAAAAUGCAUCUUAAUAUCCAGUUUUUUAGAAAAAAAAGAAUAACACUUUGCGAAGCACAAGAAAAGUUGAGCUCUAUUUAAAUGUAUCAGAGUUAUAUAGGCUACAUUUUACGUUGUAAACCAUGUUAACCAUUUUAUUAUUCUUUAAAACUGCGGGUUUUGUUUUUGGGCCUUUUUAAUGCAUUGUUUUGUUUAAUUUAUGCAAUGGUGCAAUAAAUUGUGUAUGCGUUUUUAUACGCCCGUC